RNAcentral lists this ribosomal RNA (2201 nucleotides) under Salmonella enterica subsp. enterica serovar Weltevreden. RNAcentral's name for it is "bacterial LSU rRNA". It matches the Rfam family "Bacterial large subunit ribosomal RNA", at positions 14 to 2236 of the family's 2925-position model. The record is from RNAcentral. Lineage: Bacteria; Pseudomonadati; Pseudomonadota; Gammaproteobacteria; Enterobacterales; Enterobacteriaceae.
AGCGUACACGGUGGAUGCCCUGGCAGUCAGAGGCGAUGAAGGGCGUGCUAAUCUGCGAUAAGCGCCGGUAAGGUGAUAUGAACCGUUAUAACCGGCGAUACCCGAAUGGGGAAACCCAGUGUGAUUCGUCACACUAUCAUUAACUGAAUCCAUAGGUUAAUGAGGCGAACCGGGGGAACUGAAACAUCUAAGUACCCCGAGGAAAAGAAAUCAACCGAGAUUCCCCCAGUAGCGGCGAGCGAACGGGGAGGAGCCCAGAGCCUGAAUCAGCAUGUGUGUUAGUGGAAGCGUCUGGAAAGGCGCGCGAUACAGGGUGACAGCCCCGUACACAAAAGCGCAUGUGCUGUGAGCUCGAUGAGUAGGGCGGGACACGUGGUAUCCUGUCUGAAUAUGGGGGGACCAUCCUCCAAGGCUAAAUACUCCUGACUGACCGAUAGUGAACCAGUACCGUGAGGGAAAGGCGAAAAGAACCCCGGCGAGGGGAGUGAAAAAGAACCUGAAACCGUGUACGUACAAGCAGUGGGAGCACAGGUUUACCUGUGUGACUGCGUACCUUUUGUAUAAUGGGUCAGCGACUUAUAUUCUGUAGCAAGGUUAACCGCAUAGGGGAGCCGGAGGGAAACCGAGUCUUAAUUGGGCGUUAAGUUGCAGGGUAUAGACCCGAAACCCGGUGAUCUAGCCAUGGGCAGGUUGAAGGUUGGGUAACACUAACUGGAGGACCGAACCGACUAAUGUUGAAAAAUUAGCGGAUGACCUGUGGCUGGGGGUGAAAGGCCAAUCAAACCGGGAGAUAGCUGGUUCUCCCCGAAAGCUAUUUAGGUAGCGCCUCGUGAAUUCAUCUCCGGGGGUAGAGCACUGUUUCGGCUAGGGGGCCAUCCCGGCUUACCAACCCGAUGCAAACUGCGAAUACCGGAGAAUGUUAUCACGGGAGACACACGGCGGGUGCUAACGUCCGUCGUGAAGAGGGAAACAACCCAGACCGCCAGCUAAGGUCCCAAAGUCAUGGUUAAGUGGGAAACGAUGUGGGAAGGCCCAGACAGCCAGGAUGUUGGCUUAGAAGCAGCCAUCAUUUAAAGAAAGCGUAAUAGCUCACUGGUCGAGUCGGCCUGCGCGGAAGAUGUAACGGGGCUAAACCAUGCACCGAAGCUGCGGCAGCGACGCUUAUGCGUUGUUGGGUAGGGGAGCGUUCUGUAAGCCUGUGAAGGUGGCCUGUGAGGGUUGCUGGAGGUAUCAGAAGUGCGAAUGCUGACAUAAGUAACGAUAAAGCGGGUGAAAAGCCCGCUCGCCGGAAGACCAAGGGUUCCUGUCCAACGUUAAUCGGGGCAGGGUGAGUCGACCCCUAAGGCGAGGCCGAAAGGCGUAGUCGAUGGGAAACGGGUUAAUAUUCCCGUACUUGGUGUUACUGCGAAGGGGGGACGGAGAAGGCUAUGUUGGCCGGGCGACGGUUGUCCCGGUUUAAGCGUGUAGGUGUGUGUUCCAGGUAAAUCCGGUUCACUUUAACACUGAGGCGUGAUGACGAGGCACUACGGUGCUGAAGCAACAAAUGCCCUGCUUCCAGGAAAAGCCUCUAAGCAUCAGGUAACAUCAAAUCGUACCCCAAACCGACACAGGUGGUCAGGUAGAGAAUACCAAGGCGCUUGAGAGAACUCGGGUGAAGGAACUAGGCAAAAUGGUGCCGUAACUUCGGGAGAAGGCACGCUGACACGUAGGUGAAGUGAUUUACUCAUGGAGCUGAAGUCAGUCGAAGAUACCAGCUGGCUGCAACUGUUUAUUAAAAACACAGCACUGUGCAAACACGAAAGUGGACGUAUACGGUGUGACGCCUGCCCGGUGCCGGAAGGUUAAUUGAUGGGGUCAGCGCAAGCGAAGCUCCUGAUCGAAGCCCCGGUAAACGGCGGCCGUAACUAUAACGGUCCUAAGGUAGCGAAAUUCCUUGUCGGGUAAGUUCCGACCUGCACGAAUGGCGUAAUGAUGGCCAGGCUGUCUCCACCCGAGACUCAGUGAAAUUGAACUCGCUGUGAAGAUGCAGUGUACCCGCGGCAAGACGGAAAGACCCCGUGAACCUUUACUAUAGCUUGACACUGAACAUUGAGCCUUGAUGUGUAGGAUAGGUGGGAGGCUUUGAAGCGUGGACGCCAGUCUGCGUGGAGCCGACCUUGAAAUACCACCCUUUAAUGUUUGAUGUUCUAACGUGGACCCGU